GACCGAUAGUGAACCAGUACCGUGAGGGAAAGGCGAAAAGAACCCCGGCGAGGGGAGUGAAAAAGAACCUGAAACCGUGUACGUACAAGCAGUGGGAGCCCCACCACUAAGCCAGUGGUGAACUCCACAUACGCAUCCUUUGCUGAGGAUACGGUUAACGGAGCGAAAGCGACGUUCAACCUCAAAAGAAGCAGAGGGGGCUUAGUGGUGGGGUGACUGCGUACCUUUUGUAUAAUGGGUCAGCGACUUAUAUUCUGUAGCAAGGUUAACCGAAUAGGGGAGCCGGAGGGAAACCGAGUCUUAAUUGGGCGUUAAGUUGCAGGGUAUAGACCCGAAACCCGGUGAUCUAGCCAUGGGCAGGUUGAAGGUUGGGUAACACUAACUGGAGGACCGAACCGACUAAUGUUGAAAAAUUAGCGGAUGACCUGUGGCUGGGGGUGAAAGGCCAAUCAAACCGGGAGAUAGCUGGUUCUCCCCGAAAGCUAUUUAGGUAGCGCCUCGUGAAUUCAUCUCCGGGGGUAGAGCACUGUUUCGGCUAGGGGGCCAUCCCGGCUUACCAACCCGAUGCAAACUGCGAAUACCGGAGAAUGUUAUCACGGGAGACACACGGCGGGUGCUAACGUCCGUCGUGAAGAGGGAAACAACCCAGACCGCCAGCUAAGGUCCCAAAGUCAUGGUUAAGUGGGAAACGAUGUGGGAAGGCCCAGACAGCCAGGAUGUUGGCUUAGAAGCAGCCAUCAUUUAAAGAAAGCGUAAUAGCUCACUGGUCGAGUCGGCCUGCGCGGAAGAUGUAACGGGGCUAAACCAUG
This 809-nucleotide ribosomal RNA is filed under the name Salmonella enterica. Its description in RNAcentral is "partial 23S ribosomal RNA". It matches the Rfam family "Bacterial large subunit ribosomal RNA", at positions 482 to 1191 of the family's 2925-position model. Lineage: Bacteria; Pseudomonadati; Pseudomonadota; Gammaproteobacteria; Enterobacterales; Enterobacteriaceae. The record is from RNAcentral.